This 406-nucleotide ribosomal RNA is filed under the name uncultured bacterium. RNAcentral's name for it is "partial 16S ribosomal RNA". It matches the Rfam family "Bacterial small subunit ribosomal RNA", at positions 30 to 526 of the family's 1533-position model. The record is from RNAcentral.
AUUGAACGCUGGCGGCAGGCCUAACACAUGCAAGUCGAGCGAGCGGCGGACGGGUGAGCAAUGUAUGGGGAUCUGCCCGAUAGCGGGGGAUCACUACUGGAAACGGUAGCUAAUACCGCAUACUAUCGGAUUAACCCAUAUGGGAUUAGCUAGUAGGUGGGGGAAAGGCUCACCUAGGCGACGAUCCCUAGCUGAGCUGAGAGGAUGACCAGACACACUGGAACUGAGACACGGUCCAGACUCCUACGAGAGGCAGCAGUGGGGAAUAUUGCACAAUGGGCGCAAGCCUGAUGCAGCCAUGCCGCGUGUAUGAAGAAGGCCUUCGGGUUGUAAAAUACUUUCGGCGGGGAGGCGUUACCCGCAGAAGAAGCACCGGCUAACUCCGUGCCAGCAGCCGCGGUAAUAC